GACCCUACGGGAGGCAGCAGUGGGGAAUAUUGCACAAUGGGGGGAACCCUGAUGCAGCGACGCCGCGUGAGCGAAGAAGUAUUUCGGUAUGUAAAGCUCUAUCAGCAGGGAAGAAAAUGACGGUACCUGACUAAGAAGCCCCGGCUAACUACGUGCCAGCAGCCGCGGUAAUACGUAGGGGGCAAGCGUUAUCCGGAUUUACUGGGUGUAACGGGAUCGCAGGCGGCGCGGUAAGUCUGAUGUGAAAGCCCGGGGCUCAACCCCGGGACUGCGUUGGAAACUGUCGUGCUG
This 291-nucleotide ribosomal RNA is filed under the name uncultured bacterium. Its description in RNAcentral is "partial 16S ribosomal RNA". It matches the Rfam family "Bacterial small subunit ribosomal RNA", at positions 334 to 643 of the family's 1533-position model. The record is from RNAcentral.